RNAcentral lists this ribosomal RNA (528 nucleotides) under uncultured bacterium. RNAcentral describes it as "partial 16S ribosomal RNA". It matches the Rfam family "Bacterial small subunit ribosomal RNA", at positions 355 to 874 of the family's 1533-position model. The record is from RNAcentral.
UGGGGAAUAUUGGACAAUGGGGGCAACCCUGAUCCAGCCAUGCCGCGUGUGUGAAGAAGGCCUUUUGGUUGUAAAGCACUUUAAGCAGGGAGGAGAGGCUAAUGGUUAAUACCCAUUAGAUUAGACGUUACCUGCAGAAUAAGCACCGGCUAACUCUGUGCCAGCAGCCGCGGUAAUACAGAGGGUGCGAGCGUUAAUCGGGAUUACUGGGCGUAAAGCGAGUGUAGGUGGCUCAUUAAGUCACAUGUGAAAUCCCCGGGCUUAACCUGGGAACUGCAUGUGAUACUGGUGGUGCUAGAAUAUGUGAGAGGGAAGUAGAAUUCCAGGUGUAGCGGUGAAAUGCGUAGAGAUCUGGAGGAAUACCGAUGGCGAAGGCAGCUUCCUGGCAUAAUAUUGACACUGAGAUUCGAAAGCGUGGGUAGCAAACAGGAUUAGAUACCCUGGUAGUCCACGCCGUAAACGAUGUCUACUAGCCGUUGGGGUCCUUGAGACUUUAGUGGCGCAGUUAACGCGAUAAGUAGACCGCCU